GUACUACUGAGGAGCCCCAAAGCGGGACGAAACAGCUGUCCAGUAC
This 46-nucleotide non-coding RNA is filed under the name Trichobilharzia regenti. The record is from RNAcentral. Lineage: Eukaryota; Metazoa; Platyhelminthes; Trematoda; Strigeidida; Schistosomatidae.